Molecule: RNA transcript, 1581 nt
Organism: Sander lucioperca (pikeperch)
Lineage: Eukaryota; Metazoa; Chordata; Actinopteri; Perciformes; Percidae
Exons: 7
Source: RefSeq, a predicted model, not a curated record
GUGGGAGGGGACAAUGGCAAAACCCCCAAGUAUUCAAUGACCGACAUGGACAAACACCACUUCAAGACUGUUGGAGAGAUAUUGGCAGUGAGCAUUGCUCAAGGUGGACCACCACCAAAUUUCUUCAUGGACUGGUGUUACAACUACAUGUCCACUGGAGAACUGGACCAGGAAGCGAUCACUGAGACGGCUGUUACAGAUCCAGAACUCAUUGAUUUAAUACAAGAGAUUCGGGCAGCUGACAACACAUCCCUGAUGGAGUGCACAGACAGGAUUUUGUCAUGUGGAUAUACAGGACCAGUAUCCGUUGAAAAAAAGGAAGACAUUUUGCGUGAGGUUACUUCCUAUGCUCCAGCAAAUCUGCUCCGGUAUGAAGCUGUAUGGCCUCCUCAGCUUGGUCCAGAAAGAAAAGGACAUCUGCAGACAGCUCUUUGUCCUUGGAUCGUUUAGCAGGGUGGAUGCUGAUUUCUUGGUGAAGUCACUAUCACCUGUCUUCAGUGAGAAGGGUACAAUGAGGCGUCAGAGAGAGUGCAGAGUAGUCAAUUUUCUGCAGGACUUCAUACAGGACAUGGAGGACGAAGAAGAAGGAAUCAACACGGUUUUGCCUGAAAGCGUUGCCGAGGGUGAAGGUGACAAGGCAGUGCUAAUUAAUGUGGGCAAGUUCUGUCAGUGGCUGACAGGGCAAGCACACAUACCCCUCAGUCACGCAGACCGGGAGGGUUUCAGUAUUACAAUAGAAUUUGAUCAUGAUUGUCAGGUGCGUUUUGGGACCCAUAGCAUCUGUUAUCCAAUUGUGAAUGCCUGCUCGUGCUCAGUAUGGACUCAAUAUUGAAGUCCAGAUUAAAGACAUGUUUUAGUAGUAUUAAUUGAAAUUUGUCGUCAAAUUGAACAUCUUGUAUUGGCAUUGUCUGUCCAGUCAGAGCUUUUGACUCAGUGCCCAGUAAUUGUCCCGUUGAAUGUUUUUUGCCAUCAGUUCUGUCACAAUGUGUUUGGCAUGGAAAUAUUUAUUUCCAACAGAAUGCAGUUUGUUAUUUUCAAUAUUUGAAUGAUGUGAUGCUACUUGUCAGAAGAAUGCUGACUGAAAUAAAAUAACGUCCUCACGGUGAGUGUAAAUGGUUCUGGGUCAUUAUUCUAAUGUUAUAUUCAAGUUAUGCUUAACCCUUUGAACUCCAGCCAUUUUUUGCAGGUUUUUGCAUUAUGUUUUAAUAGGUCUCAGGAGAGUGCAAUACUGACUCUUGUGUCCUUUUUUCAGGACAACCUAUGCAAUAUUAAAAGUAUUGUCAUUUCAUUUUAACCAACUAUAUACGCAAAAAAAUCUUUUUUUCCGCCCUUAAUUGUCUUAAAGCAAAACUCAGGUUUUUUAAAGGCGUGCUGCUGGAGUUCUGAGGGUUAACUAUAAUAAUGAUGAUUGUAAUAAUAUUAUCAAGCUUAGUAUAACAAUGUCACAAUCCACAAAUAACCAACUUUGAUGUAUCCAUGAUUGUCUUUAUUUACAAACCUUUUAAAUAUUAACCUGUGCCAAACAAAUAUUCACGGCAUAGCAAGUACAGUUCCCUUGCAGGUGUAACUGGGUCAUUGUCU